This 593-nucleotide unclassified non-coding RNA is filed under the name Entoloma mutabilipes. RNAcentral's name for it is "sequence contains ITS1, 5.8S rRNA gene and ITS2". The stretch from base 234 to 387 matches the Rfam family "5.8S ribosomal RNA". The record is from RNAcentral. Lineage: Eukaryota; Fungi; Basidiomycota; Agaricomycetes; Agaricales; Entolomataceae.
GGCUGGCUGUUGCUGGCCUUUUGGGCAUGUGCACGCGCCUAUUCUGACUUUAUAACCACCUGUGCACUUUGUGUAGAUCUGAAGAACCUUCGAGGUCAACUCGGUUUAAAGGAUUGCCGUCAGCCAUGCCGGCUUUCCUUUAUAUUUCAGAUCUAUGUUUUACUAUACUCCACAUUUUAUGUACUUGAAUGAUAUGAUUGGGCAUUAUGAUUUUUGCCUGUAAAACAAUAUACAACUUUCAACAACGGAUCUCUUGGCUCUCGCAUCGAUGAAGAACGCAGCGAAAUGCGAUAAGUAAUGUGAAUUGCAGAAUUCAGUGAAUCAUCGAAUCUUUGAACGCACCUUGCGCUCCUUGGUAUUCCGAGGAGCAUGCCUGUUUGAGUGUCGUGAAAUUCUCAACCAUUCAAAGCUUUUGAAGCUAGUUUGGCUUGGAUCUUGGGAGUUUGCUGGUUCUAUUGAGUCGGCUCUCCUUAAAUGUAUUAGCAAGAUUGGUCGCUGAGCUAUUGUUGAUAUGAUAACUUAUCUAUAUCAUUAAUGAAACAGUGCCUUCCUUCGUGGAAAGAUCUGGCUUUCUAACUGUCUAUUAAGACAAC